AACAAGAAAAUGACUUAGUGGCGAACGGGUGAGUAACACGUGAGAAACCUCCCUAUCACAAGGGGAUAGCCUCCGGAAACGGUGAAUUAAUACCCUAUGACAUCACAAUAUCGCAUGGUAUAGUGAUCAAAGAUUUAUCGGUGAUAGAUGGUCUUGCGGCUGAUUAGCUAGUUGGUAAGGUAACUGCUUACCAAGGCAACGAUCAGUAUCCGGCUUGAGAGGGUGAACGGACACACUGGAACUGAGACACGGUCCAGACUCCUACGGGAGGCAGCAGUGGGGAAUUUUGCACAAUGGGGGAAACCCUGAUGCAGCGACGUCGCGUGAACGAUGAAGGCCUUCGGGUUGUAAAGUUCUGUCCUAAGCGAAGAUAAUGACAGUAGCUUAGAAGAAAGCUCCGGCUAAAUACGUGCCAGCAGCCGCGGUAAUACGUAUGGACCGAGCGUUGUCCGGAAUUAUUGGGCGUAAAGGGUACGUAGGCGGUUAUGUGGGUCUGUAUUAAAAGGCAUUGGCUCAACCAAUGUUCGGUAUGGAAACUGCAUAACUUGAGUAGAUGAGGGGUAAGUGGAAUUCCUAGUGUAGCGGUGAAAUGCUUAGAUAUUAGGAGGAAUACCAGUGGCGAAGGCGACUUACUGGAAUCUAACUGACGCUGAGGUACGAAAGCGUGGGGAGCAAACAGGAUUAGAUACCCUGGUAGUCCACGCAGUAAACGAUGAGAAGGGGUGUCGGGAGUCAAAUCUCGGCGCCGCCGCUAACGCAU
RNAcentral lists this ribosomal RNA (760 nucleotides) under uncultured bacterium. RNAcentral describes it as "bacterial SSU rRNA". It matches the Rfam family "Bacterial small subunit ribosomal RNA", at positions 78 to 860 of the family's 1533-position model. The record is from RNAcentral.